Equus caballus (horse) is the source of this 826-nucleotide long non-coding RNA. RefSeq lists it as uncharacterized. The record is from RefSeq and is a predicted model, not a curated record. NCBI's taxonomy places the organism in Eukaryota, Metazoa, Chordata, Mammalia, Perissodactyla, Equidae.
AGCACCCGCGGCGCACACUAACCUGAUCACCGUGGAGGCGGGAUCUGCGGCCCGAGGAUGAACGGCAGCAGCUUGAGCCAAUCGCCGCCGAGGGUCUCCGGGCAACAGCCAAUGGUGGCGGCGGCGGGGGGGGAAGGGACCAAUGGGCGGACUGCGCAGCCGGCCAGGGAGGCUCAGCCAUUUGGUUGUGGUGCCGGAGACGGACCCCUUUAGAUUUCGGGGCGGCUGAGGAGCGCGGCGGCUGCUCGCUGGCUGAGCGAGGGGGGUGGGCGGAAUGGCGGGGGAAGGGAAGGUGACUGUGCCUCGAGGGCCGAGCCGCCUGGCCUCACCAGCCCGCCGCCGCCUCAGCGUUUGGCCGGGGGCGGGGCCGCAGCUUGAAUCACAUCCACCGGAACCUGGCCAUAGGACUUUUUCACCUACAUCAUGGCUCUGCUGCCUGGACCCCAAAAAACAAUGAUAUGGAAAAACUCCAGCUUCAUUAUGUUCUUUGUCUUUCUAUAUAAAUAGCUUUUAGAAAUGUAGAUUAUUCUUUUGAAAUCCAUGGUAACAAAUGUGAAGACUACAGCAUUUUGAUUUGAAUAGCAAAGCAAUGUUGAGGCCCAGGAUCUAAAAAGUUAGCUAGUCUUAAUUCUUUUGCUUAAUAAAGAAUUGGAUGGUUUUAUUUUUUAAAUUAUUGAAUACUUUAUCAAUGGGUUGGUUAUGGAAAAAAGCACUGUUAGAUGAAAAUAGUCGUAUGUGAUUUUAGAAAUUAAUAGCAAGAAAUCUUAAAACAGCUUAAAGAUGGUUUAUUUUGAAAAGGAAAGAGAAAUAAAAACUAUUACCUGAA